UCCACAUCUUGCAUAGAGGAGGUGAAAUACAUCUCUCCUAUCGUAGUCUUUCUAGGAUUAGAAGCUCCUUCCAAUGAAGCCUAUCGUGUCAGUGAUGUUUCUCCUUUUUCUGGUUCUCCUCGCAGCUAACAGGACUACAGGGAUCAGAUUGUUGGAAGAAGAAUCAGUGGCUUCCCUACGCAACCAACUGCAUGAGGAAAAGAGCUUGAUGAAAGAAGGAGCGCUUCUACGUGGAUGCCAUGGGGAUUGUUCAGGUAGUGUGAAGGAGAGGAGAUCCAUAAGCAAAGUUAGAGAAGUCCAUCAAAGGCUUCCAGGGUUUCAUGAAGAUUACGUUGGACCUAGGAAUCACAUGCCUGAGCACCAUUGAAAUUAUUCUUCAUGCACGCUGUUCCACGAAUCUUCUCAAUUUCCUUUUGUUUUCUGUAUUUGAACGUCAUAAAAGAAGCUUGACCACAAACAUGUAG
Molecule: non-coding RNA, 464 nt
Organism: Musa acuminata subsp. malaccensis (wild Malaysian banana)
Lineage: Eukaryota; Viridiplantae; Streptophyta; Magnoliopsida; Zingiberales; Musaceae
Source: RefSeq, a predicted model, not a curated record